Molecule: long non-coding RNA, 288 nt
Filed under: Drosophila guanche
Lineage: Eukaryota; Metazoa; Arthropoda; Insecta; Diptera; Drosophilidae
Source: RNAcentral
GGCGAUGGUUGUAAAAAAUGUUUGUGGCCCAUGGCCCAUGGGAAUGCUCGAAACUUAGAAUGAAAUAUAUUACCUAUUGAUUUCCUCUUACCUUCAAACCACAAGGCCGUUAAACACAGCUGUGCCGGGAGUAACGUAUAGACGCUGCUUUGGGUAGGCUGAGCUCUAUUGAUAGACUGAUGAGAACCGGAAAAGCGUUAAUCCUAAGUGUUAGUGUUGUUGUUGAAGGAAGGGAAUGACGGAUAAGGAAUAGACAGUGUGGAUAUAUGUACAACACAUGGACUGUUC